This 74-nucleotide transfer RNA is filed under the name Streptosporangiaceae bacterium. RNAcentral describes it as "tRNA-Gly". It matches the Rfam family "tRNA". From Rfam's summary of the family: Transfer RNA (tRNA) molecules are approximately 80 nucleotides in length. Their secondary structure includes four short double-helical elements and three loops (D, anti-codon, and T loops). Further hydrogen bonds mediate the characteristic L-shaped molecular structure. tRNAs have two regions of fundamental functional importance: the anti-codon, which is responsible for specific mRNA codon recognition, and the 3' end, to which the tRNAs corresponding amino acid is attached (by aminoacyl-tRNA synthetases). tRNAs cope with the degeneracy of the genetic code in two manners: having more than one tRNA (with a specific anti-codon) for a particular amino acid; and 'wobble' base-pairing, i.e. permitting non-standard base-pairing at the 3rd anti-codon position. The record is from RNAcentral. Lineage: Bacteria; Bacillati; Actinomycetota; Actinomycetes; Streptosporangiales; Streptosporangiaceae. RNAcentral also lists the same sequence under 3 other names.
GCGGGCGUAGCUCAAUGGUAGAGCCCCAGCCUUCCAAGCUGGUCAUGCCGGUUCGAUCCCGGUCGCCCGCUCCA